AACCUGUGUUCUACAAAUAUGUAUAUGAUAUGUUCCAGUGGGACGUCUGAACUAGGAGAGAACAAACAGGUUAUAAGAAGGAGACGAGCCUACCUAGAGAUGUGUCUGUGUGCCCAUGAAGCUAGCGUAACAGACGCAGCAAAUGCUUAAUACACUUCAGACCAUCCAUACCAGAGAGGCACCGAUACCCAAGGAGUGGCAGAAUGAACAAAAAUAUAGAGAGCCAUAAGACACAGUGGUGGGAGACAGGAGAAACCAGAGGACCUGGGAAGUCAUAUGGAUCAUUUUCCCUGAGCACAGAGUUUGUGGAGAGAUGGGGAGAGAGCAUCUGGAAAAUCCCAUGGGAGACAACUGGCAUUGUCCUUAAGUGGAGACAAGCAAGAAGGUGGCUGUCUCUUAAGCUGAGGAGAGAGGUUAUCACCAGAACCCAACUCUGCUGGCACCCUGAAAUCAUGGACUUCCAGACUUCUAGCCUCCAGACUUCCAGAAAAUACAUUUCUGUUGUUAAUCAACCCAGUCUGCAGUAUUCUGUUAUGGCAGUGCAAGCUGACUCACACAAGAGGGGAGGGGGAGAUAGAGGGUGGCCUGCCCCCCAAGGAGGCAACAGAAUAUAUAGACACCGCUGCUACACUAUCCACCAGGCAUUCUGACCCUUGUGCAUGUGUGUAGGGUUUCUGAUUAAAGUCCCAGAAAUAAACAGGCUAAUUUGUGGGCUGAAAAUGCCAUAAAGAUCUGUGCUAAAGAUCUAUGGGGUUAAUCUGAAACAAUUAGCAAUUCAAAGAUUUAUUUACUACAGAUGCACAGCAGAUUCCCAUUAGAGUGCAAUAUUCAGAAAAUCAAAACAUAUGUGGCAAAAGAGAAUCUAGACAUUUCUCUAAAAUUCAGAGUAAUUGAAGAAUUAAAUCCUAAUGUGGGACGUAGGGAGAAAGGAAGGUGGGCAGAGUAGAAUAAAGAGUAAAGAGUCUUAAGACACAUAUUUUCCUGAAGUGUAGGAAAUGAAAUUUUCAAGUAUUGUGAUUGCAACUGGUUAUUUAAAUAUGGCUUUGGAUGAAAAAAAAAAAUCUUCCAGUUUAGUUCAGUACUAAGUUAAAAGUAAACUCAAGGCAAAAUAUAUUGUGAAAUCCAUAAAAGACCCAUUUGGCCAAACUCUAUUCUUUUUCACUGCGUAUUUAAUUCUGCAUGUGUUUCUUCUCAUGUAUGCCCUACAAACAUCAAUUUAAAAUGCCCAUAGUUUUAUUACUAAAGACUAGAUAGGAACUGAAUUUCUUGUGUUUCUGGGGAUCAGAAAAGGCUACUUUAUGCUGUGUUACCAAUUAAGUCAUAUGCCUCAAGCCAGGUUUUGAAAUCUAGAGAGUUGAGAGAACCACAUUUCUUUAAAAUGCUGUGAUAAUUUUCCAGCCAAUGCAGUUAGAUUUUAUUUGGAAUUUUAAUAUUACUUUCUUUCCCCUAUCACUUAGAAAAUAUUCUUGAAGGGGCAUGAAUAAGUGAAAAAAAAAAUUCUUGCAGGGGCAUGAAUAAGUGACCAGAGACUUUUGAAAUACAAAAAAAGAAAAAAAAAAUAGAAAAAAAAUGUGGCUGGACAUUGUGCUGGUGCUUUCACAAAUAUUAGUUAAUUUAGAGCAAUUCCAGCAAGUCAGAUAUGUAUUUUACAGAUUAGAAAACCAAGUAACACUAAGUAAUAGGUAAGCCGUCAUAUCACCAGAAUGUGGUAGAGACAGAGGAUGGAGGUCCCAAGGACACUGAUCAGAAGGUGCAGAUCUGUAUGUGUCAACACAAAGAGACAAGAUGAUACAACACAUGAUAAGGAAAUUUCCUUUAUCUGUGACAUCUUCCAAGCAUAGCCUGCGUACCCAAUUACUAAAGCCCUUUACCUUUCCACUUGCCAUCUUUUUGGGUGUUCGUUCUCUCAAUGAGAAAAGAGUAUCACCCUCCAGGAAGCUCUUCUACACUCGGAUAAGAGAUUUAAAGGGGCUUGAGACCAGAAGAGGCACAGGAACGACAAGGACAACUAUAAUAUGUGGUAGCUGAGAUAUGAAGAACUGUUCAUCUUUUUUAAACAAAAUCAAUCAUCUUUUUAACAAAAUCAGUCUGGUUCCUCAACAGAGCAGGUUCACUAACAAAAAUAGGUCUGGUCUAGAAACAUAAUAUAAAGGCAAGAUGACAACAGCACACUUCCGAAAGGUUUUUCUAGUUCUCACACAGAAUGUCCCAGAAUUCUAAAAUAUUUAUUACUUCUUAAAGUUAAUAGUUAAUAAUCCUUUGAAUCAUUAUCACCUGUAGAACAGAUGAUUCACAUGAAAACAAAGGCAUCUUAACAGUGACCUAAAAAGUAAUCCAAG
Molecule: long non-coding RNA, 2339 nt
Filed under: Mustela putorius furo (domestic ferret)
Lineage: Eukaryota; Metazoa; Chordata; Mammalia; Carnivora; Mustelidae
Description: lncRNA (ENSMPUG00000028419.1)
Source: RNAcentral